RNAcentral lists this ribosomal RNA (253 nucleotides) under uncultured bacterium. RNAcentral's name for it is "partial 16S ribosomal RNA". It matches the Rfam family "Bacterial small subunit ribosomal RNA", at positions 524 to 776 of the family's 1533-position model. The record is from RNAcentral.
CACGUAGGGCGCAAGCGUUGUCCGGAAUUAUUGGGCGUAAAGAGCUCGUAGGCGGUCUGUUGCGUCCGCUGUGAAAACUCGGGGCUUAACCCCGAGCCUGCAGUGGAUACGGGCAGACUAGAGGUAGGUAGGGGAGAAUGGAAUUCCCGGUGUAGCGGUGAAAUGCGCAGAUAUCAGGAAGAACACCCGUGGCGAAGGCGGCUCUCUGGGACGGUACUGACGCUGAGACGCGAAAGCGUGGGGAGCGAACAGG